GAUGAACGCUGGCGGCGUGCCUAAUACAUGCAAGUCGAGCGAACGGACGAGAAGCUUGCUUCUCUGAUGUUAGCGGCGGACGGGUGAGUAACACGUGGAUAACCUACCUAUAAGACUGGGAUAACUUCGGGAAACCGGAGCUAAUACCGGAUAAUAUUUUGAACCGCAUGGUUCAAAAGUGAAAGACGGUCUUGCUGUCACUUAUAGAUGGAUCCGCGCUGCAUUAGCUAGUUGGUAAGGUAACGGCUUACCAAGGCAACGAUGCAUAGCCGACCUGAGAGGGUGAUCGGCCACACUGGAACUGAGACACGGUCCAGACUCCUACGGGAGGCGGCAGUGGGGAAUCUUCCGCAAUGGGCGAAAGCCUGACGGAGCAACGCCGCGUGAGUGAUGAAGGUCUUCGGAUCGUAAAACUCUGUUAUUAGGGAAGAACAUAUGUGUAAGUAACUGUGCACAUCUUGACGGUACCUAAUCAGAAAGCCACGGCUAACUACGUG
RNAcentral lists this ribosomal RNA (497 nucleotides) under uncultured bacterium. Its description in RNAcentral is "partial 16S ribosomal RNA". It matches the Rfam family "Bacterial small subunit ribosomal RNA", at positions 28 to 507 of the family's 1533-position model. The record is from RNAcentral.